UAAGAACGGCCAUGCACCACCACCCACAGAAUCAAGAAAGAGCGAUCAAUCUGUCAAGCCUUACUAUGUCUGGACCUGGUGAGUUUCCCCGUGUUGAGUCAAAUUAAGCCGCAGGCUCCACUCCUGGUGGCGCCCUUCCGUCAAUUCCUUUAAGUUUCAGUCUUGCGACCAUACUCCCCCUGGAACCCAAAGACUUUGAUUUCGCAAAAAUGCCGAAGGAAUCAACAUGCAACCGCCUCCAAUUUCUUGGUAGCGUAGUUUAUGGUUAAGACUAGGACGGUAUCUAAUCGUCUUCGAUCCCCUAACUUUCGUUCUUGAUUAAAGCAGACAUCAUUGGCAAAUGCAUUCGCAUUAGUUUGUCUUUAACAAAUCCAAGAAUUUCACCUCUGACAGUUAAAUACAAAUGCCCCCAACCAUCCCCAUCAA
RNAcentral lists this ribosomal RNA (426 nucleotides) under uncultured dinoflagellate. RNAcentral's name for it is "partial 18S rRNA". The record is from RNAcentral. Lineage: Eukaryota; Dinophyceae.